GACAGAGGUGCCAAGCGUUAGGCGGAAUCACUGGGCUUAAAGCGUGUGUAGGCGGAAUGGUAAGUACCUUGUGAAAUCCCACGGCUCAACCGUGGAAACUGCUCGGUAUACUGCUUUUUCUUGAGCCACUUAGGGGCUGUCGGAACAAACGGUGGAGCGGUGAAAUGCGUAGAUAUCGUUUUGGAACGCCAAAAGGGUGAAAACAGACAGCUGG
RNAcentral lists this ribosomal RNA (214 nucleotides) under uncultured bacterium. Its description in RNAcentral is "partial 16S ribosomal RNA". It matches the Rfam family "Bacterial small subunit ribosomal RNA", at positions 524 to 732 of the family's 1533-position model. The record is from RNAcentral.